CUACUGGUGUGGCAUAGGGUGGCAAAUGCCACCCCAAAAGAAAGCCUUGCCAACUCUGCUGCCACCCCAAUUUGCAAGGACGAAUUUGACAUUUACGAUCGAGGAACUCCAAUGUCUGACUGCAGUGAAUGCAGCACGAGAUGAGGCCAGAGCGGCAGCAGCACAGGAGCAGUAAGAGACCGAUUUGUUUCGAAAAAGCGAGGGAGCCAGGAGUCGCGAGGAAAGAAGACACAGGAGGAAAGAGGGCAGUGCAGAAGGAGCAACAGGUGUUCCCCAUCUGCCAUAAUCAGCCAGCUCAAGAACAGGUGGAAGGCAACCAAUCAAGCUUCAUUCAUUCUGCAAUAUAACCAGACGCCUCCCAUCUCUCAGUGCCGGAUCGUGACACAGCUCUUCCGGACCCACCUGUUUCUGCCGUUUUGCCGUCAACCUUGGACUCUGGUUAUCACCUCAGAGAAAAGGAAACACUCACCAGAGCCGACUCCCUCCUUCUGGCGUCCUUCCCCACUCACCUGUUGCUGCUUCACGCUAUCCACCAUCUGGCCCAAAGCACGCUGCUCCAAACCCUGGCUGCCACCGCUGUGAACCAGUUCUGAGCAUUCCUUGUAUAAUUCAUGUAUCCAAGUCCAGGUGUGAGGUGCCAGUGCAGCCAAUGCGAGACAGUUUCCCUAAGACCCUCCAGGGAGGAGCCAGAAGAAGCUUCCGCAGCGACUGGUACAAAUUUCAUCCCUGGUUAGAAUACUCACAAUCAAAAGAUGCAGCUUAUUGUCUUGCAUGUCAGCAUUUUUCCCUCCCGGAUGCUCCAAAGACUGUUUUCACCUCAUUGCAACUGGAAAAAGGCUACAAUGAAAGACAGUGGUAUCUGUUCUCAUGCCAGAUCUGAAGGACAUGUAAAUGCAAUGUUUGCAUGGACAGAGAACAAGAAAAUUCAGGAUAAAAAUACCUCAGUGUUUGGACUAAUAGAUGAGCAAAAAAAAAAGAAGCAGAUGGCUGAAAAUCAGUACUACAUUAGAACAUUAGCUGAAAUUUUAGUUCUAACAGCCACAGAAAACAUUGAUACAACUCAAAGAAAACCAAAGAGGCCAAGACAGACAAAAAGGGGCUCCAGGAUACUAUCGUCCACUCCACUUUGGGACAGCAUGUAGUUCCAGAUAGCAAACACACUUUUUGUGUCUCUGUGUACUAUCCAGUUCUGGAUAACAUGAUUGGAGAAAUAGGAAGAAGAUUUUCUAACACGCAUUGUAAAAUUAUGCAGGGUGUCCAGGCACUAAAUCCGUCAAGUCCAAGUUUUUUGAGAGAGGAAGCUGUUCUGUUAUUUGCUGAAGCUUAUGAUUCAAAUAUUGAGGAUCUCAAACAUGAGUUACAUCAGACGAGGAGAAUACUGGACAGAAAAAAGGUGGAAAAGGAGAGUCCUACCACUCUAAUGGAGUUCACUCAGUUUUUGGACCCAUACCAGGAUGUUUUUUAUGAGAUGUUCAGAUUGUGUAAAAUAGUGGUUGUUUUACCUGUGAGCAGUGCAUCCUGUGAGCGAAGUUUUUCAUCUCUCAGGCUGAUAAAGACUUAUUUGCGGUCUACUAUGACAGAAAAGAGACUGUCGAGUUUGGCUGUACUCAGCAUUGAAUCAAAAUGCACAAAAGCAUUAGAUCUAGAUAAAUUUGUGAAGCGUUUUGCUGAGCAGCAUGGAAAUCGCCGCAUUCAGCUGUUAUAGGCAUGCCAACUUCAUAUUAUGCUCACUGGUGAGCCUUUACAAAGGUGUUAAAUGGUGACCUCAACAGAAUCUGCACUUUUUUUUCUGUAUUUAUAUCUUUGUUUUGGCAACUGAGAAAAUCUGAUAUCACCUUUAAUAAAACCUAAUGUGAGAAAAAAAAGUCUAAAAUGUGACACUAUAGUGUAAAUGGUGUCAAUCCUGCUGAACAGGAAGCAGUGUUGUUGUUUUUUAAUGUCUCGUUUGUAUAUACAUUAUAAAACUGUACAGAAAGGCCCUGUAUGAACUGUAUGAAGUAAAUACAACAUCUCCUUAUUUUUA
Amphiprion ocellaris (clown anemonefish) is the source of this 2023-nucleotide long non-coding RNA. RefSeq lists it as uncharacterized. The record is from RefSeq and is a predicted model, not a curated record. The transcript has 4 exons. NCBI's taxonomy places the organism in Eukaryota, Metazoa, Chordata, Actinopteri, Pomacentridae.